GAAAGUGACAGUUUGCCGAUAACUACCACGCGAGAAAGUGUCAUUUUUGUACGGCCGCCGCCGGCUGGCCGGUGCAGUCGGAUUGAAAAUCCCGAAAUAAAACCGACCAGAGGACAUCAAGAGAGGACAUAUUGGGGACCAAAACCAAACCUUCAAAUCAUCUCCGGCAAAACAAGAAUCUAUUCAGAGAUCGGCCGCGGCUGAAGGGGCUAUGUUCCGGUGGCCACGUCGAGGCGUAUGACGCAGGAUGGCCAAAGCGUCGAUCUGUCUGAAACCCAGAACCAGGCUGGAUUUGAUGCGGUUGGAGGUGGCUGCUUCGAAUGUUCCCGAUCAUCAAAAAACUAUUCUGUGACAAGUGAAUCGUAACUAAAGUGAUAAGCGUUGAAGUGGAUGUAUUGUAUAUUACAAAAAUGUGAAUAAAUUACGUUUAUUUCGUGAAAUUUGAUAAUUUCACUUUUUUU
Molecule: long non-coding RNA, 461 nt
Organism: Culex quinquefasciatus (southern house mosquito)
Lineage: Eukaryota; Metazoa; Arthropoda; Insecta; Diptera; Culicidae
Exons: 2
Source: RefSeq, a predicted model, not a curated record